CGGGUGGCUCCAGCAGUGGGGAAUCUUGCGCAAUGGGGGAAACCCUGACGCAGCGACGCCGCGUGGAGGAUGAAGGUCUUCGGGUUGUAAACUCCUUUUCUUGGGGAAAAUAGUGAUGGUACCCAAGGAAUAAGCCACGGCUAACUCUGUGCCAGCAGCCGCGGUAAGACAGAGGUGGCGAGCGUUGUUCGGAAUUACUGGGCUUAAAGGGCGAGUAGGCGGUGGAGUAAGUCUGUGGUGGAAUCCUACGGCUUAACCGUAGAACUGCCAUAGAAACUGUUUCACUUGAGUCAGUGAGGGGAGGGCGGAAUUCCUGGUGUAGCGGUGAAAUGCGUAGAUAUCAGGAGGAAGGCCUGUGGCGAAGGCGGCCCUCUGGUACUGUACUGACGCUGAGGCGCGAAAGCGUGGGGAGCAAACAGGAUUAGAUACCCGAGUAGUC
RNAcentral lists this ribosomal RNA (439 nucleotides) under uncultured bacterium. Its description in RNAcentral is "partial 16S ribosomal RNA". It matches the Rfam family "Bacterial small subunit ribosomal RNA", at positions 342 to 795 of the family's 1533-position model. The record is from RNAcentral.